GUUAUUUUGUUACGAUAAGGUAUUCUAUUAUUCUAGAGAAAAACCGAGCGAGCGCUUUCUUUUCCUCUCCUUUUUCUUUUUUUUUUUUUUUCUGGGUUUUUUUUCCCCCCUUUUUUUUUUUUUUCCUUCCCUUCUCUUGCUCUCCUGCUUUGGCUGCCCCUUGGGUGGCUCUCACUUUUGUGUUUACUGAGUGCGUCUCCUUGAUCGGGGCGAAGGGGCCGGCUGCCUCGCUGCCCGCUGCUACCGGCUGCUGCCCCACGAGCGAGGAGACAAGCAGGGCGCUCCGGCUUUUAUACCUUUUAUACCACCCCCCCCCCCCCCCCCCCCCCCCCCCCAUGGGCAUGUUCUCCCGGCGAGCACCAGCCCGGCCACGCAGCCAAUAAUGUUGCAGAGCUGUCUAACCCCCUCUCUUCCCUCCCUCCCUUCCUUUCUUCCCUCCUUCUCUCUCGUAACCCUCCGGAGUCCAGCUCGGGAGGGAAGAGGGGAUAGAAAGUUUCUGCCGCACGGUUUCUUUGCGUGCUGCUACCUGGGAUGGGCGCUUUACCCCUUCUGCUGGCCCCGGGUGGAAGGGGGACUACGCGCAUCCGCGGCCGCCCCGCAGCAUCCUUCUGUUUGCUGUGCUGUUCUCUGGGAUGUGUCGCUGCACAUCACACCCAGCAGUCCUGGUGUCAGGGCUGUAGGCUGCAACCGAAACAUCGGCACAUCUGGGAGGUGCUGAGGAAGCAGUUCCGUGCACAUCAGACUCAACCACAGGCAUCAGUUCUCAGCUCCUACACUAAUAUUUAAACAUGUAAAGAAGUGACCUGGCCAUCAACGAGACUGCGCAUCUGCCGGUGUGUGCCAGGGCUCCGGAUUUCUCCUUACCUUGGGCUUUUGGAGUUUCUCCUAGAUGGCCAGGACUUAGUAAAUCCGAGUUGUGGGUCCUCGCAAAAUGCUCAGCAGAGGUGGUCUUAACAAAAAGCAAGCCACCUUUCCUCCCUGCAAAAGCAGAACCCCAUCAAAGGACCGG
RNAcentral lists this long non-coding RNA (1009 nucleotides) under Chloebia gouldiae (Gouldian finch). RNAcentral's name for it is "Erythrura gouldiae (Gouldian finch) lncRNA (ENSEGOG00005001453.1)". Lineage: Eukaryota; Metazoa; Chordata; Aves; Passeriformes; Passeridae. The record is from RNAcentral.